GACGAACGCUGGCGGCGUGCUUAACACAUGCAAGUCGAACGGAAGGGCCCUGCUUUUGUGGGGUGCUCGAGUGGCGAAUGGGUGAGUAACACGUGAGUAACCUGCCCUUGACUUUGGGAUAACUUCAGGAAACUGGGGCUAAUACCGGAUAGGAGCUCCUGCUGCAUGGUGGGGGUUGGAAAGUUUCGGCGGUUGGGGAUGGACUCGCGGCUUAUCAGCUUGUUGGUGGGGUAGUGGCUUACCAAGGCUUCGACGGGUAGCCGGCCUGAGAGGGUGACCGGCCACAUUGGGACUGAGAUACGGCCCAGACUCCUACGGGAGGCAGCAGUGGGGAAUAUUGCACAAUGGGCGGAAGCCUGAUGCAGCAACGCCGCGUGCGGGAUGACGGCCUUCGGGUUGUAAACCGCUUUCGCCUGUGACGAAGCGUGAGUGACGGUAAUGGGUAAAGAAGCACCAGCUAACUACGUG
RNAcentral lists this ribosomal RNA (468 nucleotides) under uncultured bacterium. RNAcentral describes it as "partial 16S ribosomal RNA". It matches the Rfam family "Bacterial small subunit ribosomal RNA", at positions 28 to 507 of the family's 1533-position model. The record is from RNAcentral.